Molecule: non-coding RNA, 72 nt
Organism: Phrynosoma platyrhinos (Desert horned lizard)
Lineage: Eukaryota; Metazoa; Chordata; Lepidosauria; Squamata; Phrynosomatidae
Source: the annotation of a GenBank genome assembly
GCCAGUGUGGUACAGUGGUUUGAGUGCUGGACUUCAACUCUGGAGACCAGGGUUCAAUUCCCAGCUCAGCCA